GGGCUAGCGUUGUUCGGAAUUACUGGGCGUAAAGCGCGCGUAGGCGGAUCUGCAAGUCGGGGGUGAAAUCCCGAGGCUCAACCUCGGAACUGCCUUCGAUACUGCGGGUCUCGAGUCCGGGAGAGGUGAGUGGAAUUCCUAGUGUAGAGGUGAAAUUCGUAGAUAUUAGGAAGAACACCAGGGGCGAAGGCGGCUCACUGGCCCGGUACUGACGCUGAGGCGCGAAAGCGUGGGGAGCAAACAGG
RNAcentral lists this ribosomal RNA (245 nucleotides) under uncultured bacterium. Its description in RNAcentral is "partial 16S ribosomal RNA". It matches the Rfam family "Bacterial small subunit ribosomal RNA", at positions 532 to 776 of the family's 1533-position model. The record is from RNAcentral.